RNAcentral lists this ribosomal RNA (1421 nucleotides) under Allobrachymonas denitrificans. RNAcentral describes it as "Brachymonas denitrificans 16S ribosomal RNA". It matches the Rfam family "Bacterial small subunit ribosomal RNA", at positions 90 to 1452 of the family's 1533-position model. The record is from RNAcentral. Lineage: Bacteria; Pseudomonadati; Pseudomonadota; Betaproteobacteria; Burkholderiales; Comamonadaceae.
GACGAGUGGCGAACGGGUGAGUAAUGUAUCGGAACGUGCCCAGUAGUGGGGGAUAACUACUCGAAAGAGUGGCUAAUACCGCAUGAGAACUGAGGUUGAAAGCGGGGGAACUACUCUGCGGGCCUCUCGUGCGCCUACAUGGAAGGCGGCGCGAUAUCAGGAUUAGGCUAGCUGUGGUGGGGUACGCUCUAAGGCCUACCAAGCCUGACGAUCUGUUAGUCUGGUCUGAGAGGACGACCAGGCCAACAACUGGCGACUGAGAUCACGGCCCAGACCUUCCUACCGGGAGGCAGCAAGUGGGGAAUUUUGGACAAUGGACGCAAGUUCUGAUCCCAGCAAUGCCGCGUGCAGGACGAAGGCCUUUCGGGUUGUAAACUGCUUUUGGUACAGAACGAAAAGGGCUCUGGUUAAUACCUGGGGCUCAUGACGGUACUGUUAAGAAUAAGCACCGGCCUAACUACGUGCCAGCAGCCGCGGUAAUACGUAGGGUGCGAGCGUUAAUCGGAAUUACUGGGCGUAAAGCGUGCGCAGGCGGUUUUGUAAGACCGAUGUGAAAUCCCCGGGCUCAACCUGGGAACUGCAUUGGUGACUGCAAGGCUGGAGUGCGGCAGAGGGGGAUGGAAUUCCGCGUGUAGCAGUGAAAUGCGUAGAUAUGCGGAGGAACACCGAUGGCGAAGGCAAUCCCCUGGGCCUGCACUGACGCUCAUGCACGAAAGCGUGGGGAGCAAACAGGAUUAGAUACCCUGGUAGUCCACGCCCUAAACGAUGUCAACUGGUUGUUGGGUAUUUGCUUACUCAGUAACGAAGCUAACGCGUGAAGUUGACCGCCUGGGGAGUACGGCCCGCAAGGUUGAAACUCAAAGGAAUUGACGGGGACCCGCACAAGCGGUGGAUGAUGUGGUUUAAUUCGAUGCAACGCGAAAAACCUUACCCACCUUUGACAUGGGCAGGAAUUCCGAAGAGAUUUGGAAGUGCCUCGAAAGAGAACCUGCACACAGGUGCCUGCAUGGCUGUCGUCAGCCUCGUGUCGUGAGAUGUUGGGUUAAGUCCCGCAACGAGCGCAACCCUUGCCAUUAGUUGCUACGAAAGGGCACUCGUAAUGGGACUGCCGGUGAACAAACCGGAGGAAGGGUGGGGAAUGGACGUCAAGUCCCUCAUGGCCCUUAUAGGGUGGGGGCUACACACGUCAUACAAUGGACCGGUACAAAGGGUAGCCAACCCGCGAGGGGGAGCCAAUCCCAUAAAGCCGGUCGUAGUCCGGAUCGCAGGUUCUGAGCAACUCGACUGCGUGAAGUCGGAAUCGCUAGUAAUCGUGGAUCAGCAUGUCACGGUGAAUACGUUCCCGGGUCUUGUACACACCGCCCGUCACACCAUGGGAGCGGGUUCUGUUAGAAGUGGUUAGCUUAACCUUUAGGAGGGCG